This is a long non-coding RNA of Olea europaea var. sylvestris, 799 nucleotides long. RefSeq lists it as uncharacterized. The transcript has 2 exons. The record is from RefSeq and is a predicted model, not a curated record. NCBI's taxonomy places the organism in Eukaryota, Viridiplantae, Streptophyta, Magnoliopsida, Lamiales, Oleaceae.
UCUCUCUCUCUCUCUCUCCCCUCCCCCCUCUUUACCACGUAAAAAAACCCUUUCUCACCACACACCAUUGAACCCCAAACCAUAAAAACAGAGGAAGAAACCAGAAAGAAAAAUAGGAAAUCAAAUACUCACACACCUGAACCAGCAGAAGGAAGAAAAAAUCAAGGCCUGAACAAAUCGCUGCUUCCAUAUCUGCCCUAUUCACUCAGAAGGUCGACAACAAGAAGUUGAUAACAUCGAUUAAGUUUAUCAUCAACAAAAUUUGAAAGUCAUAAACAAAUAGGUGUUCUCAAAAAUGAGUACCAUGGCUUCACCAUUUUGUGUAUUUUUUGAUAGCCUUAUUAUAAACCAACUUUUCCACUGCAAGUUCAUGCCAAUGACAACACCAGUUGAAAAAUUCAGAUUUAUGAGCUUGACUGAUGAAGAAUUCAUGUGUGAUUUGAUCUUUGAGAAUAUUGGUCGUAAUCCGCCUCCACUACUUUAAGAUGGCAUGAUUGGAUAAUUCAACAAACAUAUGUAAAAGUAUGAUAUUCAUGUUAGUUUGGAUUGCAACUCACUUUUAAUAGAGAUUUUUUUGUUUUUUAAUUUUACUUUUUGUUCUUCUGUUCUAUGUUGGACAUAAGGUUGUCAUUGUUUAUUUGAUUAUCUCAUAACUAUUUUUUAUUGGAAUGAAAAGAAUUAAUUCUCAUACAUGAGUAUAAAUUUGAAUUGGUGAGUUUGUUUUCCUCAUUGUUAUAAAUUUUAUUUUUUUCCAUAACAUUAUCUUCAAAAUACGACCUCUUCAAAAAAAAAAAAAAAA